GAGUUUGAUCCUGGCUCAGGAUAAACGCUGGCGGCGUGCCUAAUACAUGCAAGUCGAUCGCUGGAAUUCCAGCUUGCUGGAAUGAAGGAGAGGCGAACGGGUGAGUAAUACAUAAGCAACCUGCCCACGAAGACUGGGAUAAUUCCUGGAAACGGGGACUAAUACCGGAUAGGUAGUGUGAUCGCAUGAUCGCACUAUUAAAGGUUCAAGACACUGGUGGAUGGGCUUAUGGCGCAUUAGCUGGUUGGUGAGGUAACGGCCCACCAAGGCGAUGAUGCGUAGCCGGCCUGAGAGGGUGAACGGCCACAUUGGGACUGAGACACGGCCCAGACUCCUACGGGAGGCAGCAGUAGGGAAUUUUCGGCAAUGGGCGCAAGCCUGACCGAGCAACGCCGCGUGAGUGAAGACGGCCUUCGGGUUGUAAAGCUCUGUUGUAAGGGAAGAAUUGGCAUGAGAGAAUCGUGCAGUGACGGUACCUUACCAGAAAGCCACGGCUAACUACGUGCCAGCAGCCGCGGUAAUACGUAGGUGGCGAGCGUUAUCCGGAAUUAUUGGGCGUAAAGGGUGCGUAGGCGGCCUGUUAAGUUUAAGGUUAAAGCGUGGGGCUCAACCCCAUCACGCCUUAGAUACUGGCAGGCUAGAGUACUGGAGAGGGAAGUGGAAUUCCAUGUGUAGCGGUAAAAUGCGUAGAUAUAUGGAGGAACACCAGAGGCGAAGGCGGCUUCCUAGACAGAGACUGACGCUCAGGCACGAAAGCGUGGGGAGCAAAUAGGAUUAGAUACCCUAGUAGUCCACGCCGUAAACGAUGAAUGCUAGGUAUCGGGGCAACCCGGUGCCGCAACUAACGCGAUAAGCAUUCCGCCUGUGGAGUAUGCACGCAAGUGUGAAACAUAAAGGAAUUGACGGGGGCCCGC
Molecule: ribosomal RNA, 914 nt
Filed under: uncultured bacterium
Lineage: Bacteria
Description: bacterial SSU rRNA
Rfam family: Bacterial small subunit ribosomal RNA
Source: RNAcentral